This 4782-nucleotide long non-coding RNA is filed under the name Salmo salar (Atlantic salmon). Its description in RNAcentral is "lncRNA (ENSSSAG00000100877.1, ENSSSAG00000109830.1)". Lineage: Eukaryota; Metazoa; Chordata; Actinopteri; Salmoniformes; Salmonidae. The record is from RNAcentral.
AUCUCUCUGUUCAAAAACACAUCUCUCUGUUCAAAAACACAUCUCUCUGUUCUAAAACACAUCUCUCUGUUCUAAAACACAUCUCUCUGUUCUAAAACACACCUCUCUCUGUUCUAAAACACAUCUCUCUUCUCUGGCAGGAGAGAGCCAAUUAGAGGUACUUAUACUCAAGAGAUAUGAUCUUUUUAAUCCUCUGAUCUCUGUGCUCAGAACAGGCUCUUAAACGGACACGUGUGGUGAAGAAGUGGUCAAGUUGUUUGACCUACUUCUAUAGUGUUUAAUCUGCAACCUCAGUUAAACUUAUUGAAGAAAAAAACAACAACCUCUCCGAUGAUAACAGACCAGAAUCCAUACUACGGGUUAUAUAUCCGUUUUCUAAGGUAACUGUUGGUUAUUAUGAGGGCUCGGGACAAGGCUAAAUCUUCUUUCGUAGGAUGUUGUUUUUUUUAGCCACUGGAGGUUGGUGGCACCUUAAUUUGAGGAGGACGGGCUCGUGGUAACAGCUGGAGCGGAAUCAGUGGAAUGGAAUCAAACACAUGGUUUCCAUGGUUUCCCCGGGUGUUGGAUGUCGUUCCAUUUUCUUCCGUUCCCGGCUACUAUCACGAGCUGUCCUCCUCUCAGCAGCCUCCUGUGUUUUAGGCAUGUAUGUAACAUACGGUACAUACUGCACCAAUGUUGCAUAACCAUGAUACUCUGACUCUCUCACAUAACCAUGCUACUCUGAAUCUCUCACAUAACCAUGAUACUCUGAAUCUCUCACAUAACCAUGAUACUCUGAAUCUCUCACAUAACCAUGAUAGACUGAAUCUCUCACAUAACCAUGAUAGACUGAGUCUCUCACAAAGCUAUUCUUUCAUCUCAGUCCCAUGAUGUUGAUGCUGGCUAAAGACAUCUAUUUAUCCCCCACACCCCCCCAACCUCCCCUUUGGAAUUUCCCUUUAAGAUCAGAUCUAUUUCAUACCCAGCUCAGCGUGAUAGCUCGAGCAGCAGGCCCGAUCGCACCUCAUGACGUUUAACCACAACACCACUCGUUCUCACGCUGUCUCUCCGCUAUAAUGAGGAUCUCUGCACAAUUGUCGCUUCCCUUCUAUGUUAAAGACACGUAGUUCUGUUUCACACCUUCACAUCGUCAGCUGUCCAGACAUGGUGUACUGUGGGUAGUAGACAUGGGGUAUUGUAGGUAGGUUGACUCGGUGUCGUGCUUCUACAUCUGCAUUGCGUGCUGUUUUGUUUUGGGGGGGGGGGUUAGGCUGGGUUUCUGUAUAAGCACUUGGUGAUAUCUGGCUUUAUAAAUACAUUUGAUUGUGUUGAUUGAAUGUAUUGUGGGUAGACAUGGUACAGAGUGGCCCAGCGUCGUCUGGGUUUUGGCCGGUGUAGGCCGUCAUUGUAGACAGACUGGCCUAGUUAAAUAAAAGUGAACUAUUUUGGGUAGACAUGGUACAGUGUGGCCCAGCGUCAUCCAUAUAAAUAAAGGUUAACUAUUCAGUGUCUGUCUGUCCACUGUCUCUCUGUCCAGUGUCUGUCUGUCCAGUGUCUGUCUGUCUGUCCAGUGUCUGUCUGUCUGUCCAGUGUCUGUCUGUCUGUCCAGUAUCUGUCUGUUCAGUGUCUGUCUGUCCAGUGUCUGUCUGUCUGUCCAGUGUCUGCCUGUUCAGUAUCUGUCUGUCUGUUCAGUGUCUGUCUGUCCAGUGUCUGUCUGUCUGUCCAGUGUCUGUCUGUUCAGUGUCUGUCUGUCCAGUGUCUGUCUGUCUGUCCAGUGUCUGCCUGUUCAGUGUCUGUCUGUCUGUCCAGUGUCUGUCUGUCCAGUGUCUGUCUAUUCAGUGUCUGUCUGUCUGUUCAGUGUCUGUCUGUCUGUCUAGUGUCUGUCUGUUCAGUGUCUGUCUGUCCAGUGUCUGUCUGUCUGUUCAGUGUCUGUCUGUCCAGUGUCUGUCUGUCUGUCCAGUGUCUGCCUGUUCAGUGUCUGUCUGUCUGUCCAGUGUCUGUCUGUCCAGUGUCUGUCUGUUCAGUGUCUGUCUGUCUGUUCAGUGUCUGUCUGUCUGUCUGUCCAGUGUCUGUCUGUUCAGUGUCUGUCUGUCCAGUGUCUGCCUGUUCAGUGUCUGCCUGUUCAGUGUCUGUCUGUCUGUUCAGUGUCUGUCUGUCUGUCCAGUGUCUGUCUGUCUGUCCAGUGUCUGUCUGUUCAGUGUCUGUCUGUCCAGUGUCUGUCUGUGUGUUCAGUGUCUGUCUGUCCAGUGUCUGUCUGUCUGUCUGUUCAGUGUCUGUCUGUCUGUCCAGUGUCUGUCUGUUCAGUGUCUGUCUGUCUGUCUGUCUGUCUGUCUGUCUGUCUGUCUGUCUGUCUGUCUGUCUGUCUGUCCAGUGUCUGUCUGUCCAGUGUCUGUCUGUCUGUUCAGUGUCUGUCUGUCUGUUCAGUGUCUGUCUGUUCAGUGUCUGUCUGUCUGUCCAGUGUCUGUCUGUCUGUCCAGAGAGGGGAGGUCUAACCUGACACCACAGACAGACGGAAAGAGAGGGGAGGUCUAACCUGACACCACAGACAGAUAGAGAGGGGAGGUCUAACUUGACACCACAGACAGAUAGAGAGGGGAGGUCUAACCUGACACAACAGACAGAUAGAGUGGACAGCUAGAGAAGGGAGGUCUAACCUGACACCACAGACAGACGGAAAGAGAGGGGAGGUCUGACCUGACACCACAGACAGAUAGAGAGGGGAGGUCUAACCUGACCCCACAGACAGAUGGAAAGAGAGGGGAGGUCUAACCUGACACCACAGACAGACAGAAAGAGAGAGAGGGGAGGUCUAACUUGACACCACAGACAGACGGAAAGAGAGGGGAGGUCUAACCUGACACCACAGACAGAGAGACAGAGAGAGAGGGGAGGUCUAACCUGACACCACAGACAGACGGAAAGAGAGGGGAGGUCUAACUUGACACCACAGACAGACAGAAAAAGAGCGGAGGUCUAACCUGACACUACAGACAGACGGAAAGACAGGGGAGGUCUAACCUGACACCACAGACAGAAAGAGAGGGGAGGUCUAACCUUACACCACAGACAGACGGAAAGAGAGGGGAGGUCUAACCUGACACCACAGACAGAGAGACAGAGAGAGAGGGGAGGUCUAACUUGACACCACAGACAGACAGAAAGAGAGGGGAGGUCUAACCUGACACCACAGACAGACGGAAAGAGAGAGAGGGGAGAUCUAACUUGACACCACAGACAGACAGAAAGAGAGAGGAGGUCUAACCUGACACCACAGACAGAAAGAGAGGGGAGGUCUAACCUGACACCACAGACAGACGGAAAGAGAGGGGAGGCCUGACCUGAUACCGCAGACAGACAGAAAGAGAGGGGAGGUCUAACCUGACACCACAGACAGAAAGAGAGGGGAGGUCUAACCUGACACCACAGACAGACGGAAACAGGGGGGGGCCUGACCUGAUACUGCAGACAGACAGAAAGAGAGGGGAGGUCUAACCUGACACCGCAGACAGACAGAAAGAGAGGGGAGGUCUAACCUGACACCACAGACAGACAGAAAGAGAGAGAGGGGAGGUCUAACUUGACACCACAGACAGACAGAAAGAGAGGGGAGGUCUAACCUGACCACAGACAGACGGAAAGAGAGGGGAGGUCUAACCUGACACCACAGACAGACGGAAAGAGAGGGGAGGUCUAACCCAACACCACUUUCAGACAGAAAGGUUGAAAAGUCCUGAAUCAAGAAAAACAGCAAAAUAAAACCCCUUCUGGGUCCCACAAGGUCAACCACCACCCCUCCACGUCUCUUCACACAUACCUCAGCAUCAGCAUAGCAGUUGGAGUCCAGACCCGGCGGAUGCUGAUGAAGCUAUGCAUACCAUCACCAAGUGUUUGUGUAGAAGAAGAUGAGUAUACACAUUCCUGCUGCAUUUUGGUCCACUCAAUACGACAAACGUUACAGAACUACCCACCAACAACGGACCAAGCAGCGGAGGAAGGAGCAGCAAGAGGAGUAUAAGGAGUCAUGGACUUGGGAGGAGAUAUUAGCUGGAGAAGGACCAUGGAGGAAGACUGGAGAGGACCGGGAACGCUAUGCGGGAACACGGCUGGCAAGGAAGCCUGAGAGGCAGCCCCCCAAAAAUGUUUGGGGGGGGGGCACACGGGAAGAUUGGCUAGGUCAGGCAUUAGACCUGAGCCAACUCCCUGUGCUUAUUAUGGGGAGCGUUUGGCGGUGAGAACGCCAGUAUAUGCGGAAGUGCGCACGAUCUCGCCCAUGCGCACGCACAGUCCGGUGCGAGUAAUACCAGCCCCCGUAAGUGCCGUGCUAGAGUGGGCAUCCAAGCUGGGGUCAUAUUUUGCUAAUGUGCCUGAAAGUAUUAAUGUUGGACUAGGUCUAUAACACUGUAUAAAUGCUGGACUAGGUCUGUAACACUGUAUUAAUGCUGCACUGGGCCAGUAACACUGUAUUAAUGCUGGGCUGGGUCUGUAACACUGUAUUAAUGCUGGACUAGGUCUAUAACACUGUAUUAAUGCUGGACUAGGUCUAUAACACUGUAUUAAUGCUGGACUAGGUCUAUAACACUGUAUUAAUGCUGAACUGGGUCAGUAACACUGUAUUAAUGCUGAACUGGGCCAGUAACACUGUAUUAAUGCUGGACUAGGUCUAUAACACUGUAUUAAUGCUGGACUAGGUCUAUAACACUGUAUUAAUGCUGGACUAGGUCUAUAACACUGUAUUAAUGCUGAACUAGGUCUAUAACACUGUAUUAAUGCUGAACUGGGCCAGUAACACUGUAUUAAAGCUGG